AGCGGCGGACGGGUGAGUAAUGCCUAGGAAUCUGCCUGGUAGUGGGGGAUAACGUUCCGAAAGGAACGCUAAUACCGCAUACGUCCUACGGGAGAAAGCAGGGGACCUUCGGGCCUUGCGCUAUCAGAUGAGCCUAGGUCGGAUUAGCUAGUUGGUGAGGUAAUGGCUCACCAAGGCGACGAUCCGUAACUGGUCUGAGAGGAUGAUCAGUCACACUGGAACUGAGACACGGUCCAGACUCCUACGGGAGGCAGCAGUGGGGAAUAUUGGACAAUGGGCGAAAGCCUGAUCCAGCCAUGCCGCGUGUGUGAAGAAGGUCUUCGGAUUGUAAAGCACUUUAAGUUGGGAGGAAGGGCAGUAAGCUAAUACCUUGCUGUUUUGACGUUACCGACAGAAUAAGCACCGGCUAACUUCGUGCCAGCAGCCGCGGUAAUACGAAGGGUGCAAGCGUUAAUCGGAAUUACUGGGCGUAAAGCGCGCGUAGGUGGUUCGUUAAGUUGGAUGUGAAAGCCCCGGGCUCAACCUGGGAACUGCAUCCAAAACUGGCGAGCUAGAGUACGGUAGAGGGUGGUGGAAUUUCCUGUGUAGCGGUGAAAUGCGUAGAUAUAGGAAGGAACACCAGUGGCGAAGGCGACCACCUGGACUGAUACUGACACUGAGGUGCGAAAGCGUGGGGAGCAAACAGGAUUAGAUACCCUGGUAGUCCACGCCGUAAACGAUGUCAACUAGCCGUUGGGUUCCUUGAGAACUUAGUGGCGCAGCUAACGCAUUAAGUUGACCGCCUGGGGAGUACGGCCGCAAAGGUUAAAACUCAAAUGAAUUGACGGGGGCCCGCACAAGCGGUGGAGCAUGUUGGUUUAAUUCGAAGCAACGCGAAGAACCUUUACCUGGCCUUUGACAUGCUGAGAACUUUCCAGAGAUGGAUUGGUGCCUUCGGGAACUCAGACACAGGGUGCUGCAUGGGCUGUCGUCAGCUCGUGUCGUGAGAUGUUGGGUUUAAGGUCCCGUAACGA
This 1013-nucleotide ribosomal RNA is filed under the name Pseudomonas sp. CDRIG38. RNAcentral describes it as "bacterial SSU rRNA". It matches the Rfam family "Bacterial small subunit ribosomal RNA", at positions 94 to 1095 of the family's 1533-position model. Lineage: Bacteria; Pseudomonadati; Pseudomonadota; Gammaproteobacteria; Pseudomonadales; Pseudomonadaceae. The record is from RNAcentral.